RNAcentral lists this long non-coding RNA (236 nucleotides) under Gossypium barbadense (sea-island cotton). RNAcentral describes it as "long non-coding RNA (GBAR_LNC014100)". The record is from RNAcentral. Lineage: Eukaryota; Viridiplantae; Streptophyta; Magnoliopsida; Malvales; Malvaceae.
GACUAGUAACGAAUAGAAUUCCAUUUGAGAUUAAUCCAUCCCUCUUGACACGGUAAUCAACUAAUAUGCAUUUUAACAACAAUUCAACCAUGGAACCCGUAGCUUUUUUUGAGACGGUUUGAACAAAUAUGUAGCACAGUGGGAUAUGCUAGAGUUUUAGAAGAAGCAAUCAAGUUACUGUUGAUUCCUUUUUCCCUUGGAUGUUAGAUAUGAGAAUGGUUAGAAGCAUUACCUUC